RNAcentral lists this ribosomal RNA (225 nucleotides) under Clostridioides difficile. RNAcentral describes it as "partial 23S ribosomal RNA". It matches the Rfam family "Bacterial large subunit ribosomal RNA", at positions 1674 to 1910 of the family's 2925-position model. Lineage: Bacteria; Bacillati; Bacillota; Clostridia; Peptostreptococcales; Peptostreptococcaceae. The record is from RNAcentral.
GAGUAUCCUAAGGCCAGCGAGAGAACUGUUGUUAAGGAACUCGGCAAAAUGACCCCGUAACUUAGGGAUAAGGGGUGCCACCAUCAGGUGGCCGCAGGGAAUAGGCCCAAGCGACUGUUUACCAAAAGCAUAGGUUUCUGCUAAGUCGCAAGACGAUGUAUAGGAGCUGACGCCUGCCCGGUGCUGGAAGGUUAAGGGGAUCUGUUAGAGCAAUCGAAGCAGUGA